GACGAACGCUGGCGGCGUGCCUAACACAUGCCAGUCGAGCGGUAAGGCCUCUUCGGGGUUACACGAGCGGCGAACGGUUGCGUAACACGUGGGUGACCUGCCCUCUGCUCUUUGAUGUGGCUGGUAACGUAGGUCUACUACCGCAUAUGCCCUUUCCUCGCAUGGGGUUUGGUGGAAAGUUUUUUCGGCUGGGGAUGGUCCCGCGGCCUGUCAUCUUGUUGGCGGGGUGAUGGGCUACCAAGGCGACGACGGGUAGCCCGGGUGCGAGGGCGACCGGCCAAAUUGGGACUGAGACACGGGCCAGACUUAUACGGGAGGCAGCAGUAGGGAAUAUUGCGCAAUGGGCGGAAGCCUGACGCAGCGACGGGGCGUGGGGGAUGACGGCCGUCGGGGAGUAAACGUCGGUCGACACCGACGAAUUUGGACGGUAGGGGUAGAAGAAGCACCGGCUAACUACGUG
Molecule: ribosomal RNA, 460 nt
Filed under: uncultured bacterium
Lineage: Bacteria
Description: partial 16S ribosomal RNA
Rfam family: Bacterial small subunit ribosomal RNA
Source: RNAcentral